AACGAACGCUGGCGGCAUGCCUAACACAUGCAAGUCGAACGAGACCUUCGUGUCUAGUUGCUCACGGGUGCGUAACGCGUGGGAACCUGCCCUUAGGUUCCGAAUUACUCUCUGACAGGGGUGCUAAUACCGGGUAAUUUCCUCUAACCACAGAUUUAUCGCCUUUGGAGGGGCCCGCGUUGUAUUAGCCUGUUGGUAGGGUAAAAGCCUACCACGGCGACGAUCCAUAGCUGGUCUGAGAGGAUGAUCAGCCACACUGGGACUGAGACACGGCCCAGACUACUACGGGAGGCAGCAGUGGGGAAUAUUGGAAAAUGGGCGAAAGGAUGAUCCAGCAAUGCCGGGUGAGUGAUGAAGGCGUUAGGGUUGUAAAGCUCUUUUACCCGGGAUGAUAAUGACAGUACCGGGAGAAUAAGCUCCGGCUAACUCCGUG
This 433-nucleotide ribosomal RNA is filed under the name uncultured bacterium. Its description in RNAcentral is "partial 16S ribosomal RNA". It matches the Rfam family "Bacterial small subunit ribosomal RNA", at positions 29 to 507 of the family's 1533-position model. The record is from RNAcentral.